CAGCAGCCGCGGUAAUACGUAGGGUGCGAGCGUUAAUCGGAAUUACUGGGCGUAAAGCGUGCGCAGGCGGCUUUGCAAGACAGAGGUGAAAUCCCCGGGCUCAACCUGGGAACUGCCUUUGUGACUGCAAGGCUAGAGUACGGCAGAGGGGGAUGGAAUUCCGCGUGUAGCAGUGAAAUGCGUAGAUAUGCGGAGGAACACCGAUGGCGAAGGCAAUCCCCUGGGCCUGUACUGACGCUCAUGCACGAAAGCGUGGGGAGCAAACAGGAUUAGAUACCCUGGUAGUCCACGCCCUAAACGAUGUCAACUGGUUGUUGGACGGCUUGCUGUUCAGUAACGAAGCUAACGCGUGAAGUGACCGCCUGGGGAGUACGGCCGCAAAGGUUGAAAACUCAAAUAAAUUGACGG
This 408-nucleotide ribosomal RNA is filed under the name uncultured rumen bacterium. RNAcentral's name for it is "bacterial SSU rRNA". It matches the Rfam family "Bacterial small subunit ribosomal RNA", at positions 509 to 916 of the family's 1533-position model. The record is from RNAcentral.